RNAcentral lists this ribosomal RNA (292 nucleotides) under uncultured bacterium. Its description in RNAcentral is "partial 16S ribosomal RNA". It matches the Rfam family "Bacterial small subunit ribosomal RNA", at positions 505 to 796 of the family's 1533-position model. The record is from RNAcentral.
GUGCCAGCAGCCGCGGUAAUACGUAGGGUGCGAGCGUUGUCCGGAAUUAUUGGGCGUAAAGAGCUCGUAGGCGGUCUGUCGCGUCGAAUGUGAAAACCCGGGGCUCAACUCCGGGCUUGCAUUCGAUACGGGCAGGCUAGAGUUCGGUAGGGGAGUCUGGAAUUCCUGGUGUAGCGGUGAAAUGCGCAGAUAUCAGGAGGAACACCGGUGGCGAAGGCGGGACUCUGGGCCGAUACUGACGCUGAGGAGCGAAAGCGUGGGGAGCGAACAGGAUUAGAUACCCUCGUAGUCC